AACGAACGCUGGCGGCGUGCCUAACACAUGCAAGUCGAACGCGAAAGGGGGGCAACCCCCGGUAGCGUGGCAGACGGGUGAGUAACACGUGGGUAACCUACCCGGAGGUGGGGGAUAACCCUUCGAAAGGAGGGCUAAUACCGCAUGACACCGUGGGGACCUCGGUCCUUGCGAUCAAAGCUGGCCUCUGUUUACAAGCUAGCGCCACCGGAUGGGCCCGCGCCCCAUUAGCUAGUUGGUGAGGUAACGGCUCACCAAGGCGACGAUGGGUAGCCGGCCUGAGAGGGCGAUCGGCCACACUGGAACUGCGACACGGUCCAGACUCCUACGGGAGGCAGCAGUGAGGAAUCUUGCGCAAGUGGGCGAAAGCCUGACGCAGCGACGCCGCGUGGAGGAUGAAGGUC
RNAcentral lists this ribosomal RNA (404 nucleotides) under uncultured bacterium. Its description in RNAcentral is "bacterial SSU rRNA". It matches the Rfam family "Bacterial small subunit ribosomal RNA", at positions 28 to 416 of the family's 1533-position model. The record is from RNAcentral.